Non-coding RNA from Paramuricea clavata, 347 nucleotides. The record is from the annotation of a GenBank genome assembly. NCBI's taxonomy places the organism in Eukaryota, Metazoa, Cnidaria, Anthozoa, Malacalcyonacea, Plexauridae.
GCCCCCCCUGUUCCGCCGCCCCUGCUAGCACUGAUAACUGAGUUCUGUGCAGGUUGCCACAUUUAGCUGUAAGCUACUGACCAAACUACUGUAUGCGACUAGAAUGUAUAAUAAUGCUUUUUAAUUCUUGCCCUUGCCCCUUGGUGAUUAAUUCUUGCCCUUGGUGAUUAAUUCUUGGUUUGCAAUAGGCAAUUCCACUGAUGGGACGUAAGGUAUCAUGUUGCUGAUUAUGCUGAAAAUGUUCAAUAAAAACUGCCGAAACAAUCGAAAUAUUUCAAUAAUUACAAGUAUAAGCUAUCACUCCGUGAGCAAAUUGCCCCCUUUGCAAAUUGCCCCCUUGAGUUAUC